Molecule: ribosomal RNA, 220 nt
Filed under: Escherichia coli
Lineage: Bacteria; Pseudomonadati; Pseudomonadota; Gammaproteobacteria; Enterobacterales; Enterobacteriaceae
Also listed under: 1 other name
Description: partial 16S ribosomal RNA
Rfam family: Bacterial small subunit ribosomal RNA
Source: RNAcentral
AAAUUGAAGAGUUUGAUCAUGGCUCAGAUUGAACGCUGGCGGCAGGCCUAACACAUGCAAGUCGAACGGUAACAGGAAUCAGCUUGCUGAUUCGCUGACGAGUGGCGGACGGGUGAGUAAUGUCUGGGAAACUGCCUGAUGGAGGGGGAUAACUACUGGAAACGGUAGCUAAUACCGCAUAAUGUCGCAAGACCAAAGAGGGGGACCUUCGGGCCUCUUG